Acanthosepion pharaonis is the source of this 113-nucleotide non-coding RNA. Lineage: Eukaryota; Metazoa; Mollusca; Cephalopoda; Sepiida; Sepiidae. The record is from the annotation of a GenBank genome assembly.
UUGAGGCCACAUCACCUUGGAAUACCUGUUCCCGUACGAUCACCGAAGUUAAGCAACGUUGAGCCUGAGCAAUAGUUAGAUUGAUCAGCGCUUGGGAAUAACACGAACUGCGA